Molecule: ribosomal RNA, 434 nt
Filed under: uncultured bacterium
Lineage: Bacteria
Description: bacterial SSU rRNA
Rfam family: Bacterial small subunit ribosomal RNA
Source: RNAcentral
UGCAGUCGAACGCGAAAGCACCUUCGGGUGUGAGUAGAGUGGCGGACGGGUGAGUAAUACUUGGGAAUCUGCCUAGUAGUGGGGGAUAACUCGGGGAAACUCGAGCUAAUACCGCAUACGCCCUACGGGGGAAAGAUUUAUCGCUAUUAGAUGAGCCCAAGUCAGAUUAGCUAGUUGGUAGGGUAAUGGCCUACCAAGGCGACGAUCUGUAGCUGGUCUGAGAGGACGAACAGCCACACUGGGACUGAGACACGGCCCAGACUCCUACGGGAGGCAGCAGUGGGGAAUAUUGGACCAUGGGCGAAAGCCUGAUCCAGCAAUGCCGCGUGUGUGAAGAAGGCCUGCGGGUUGUAAGCACUUUCAGUUGGGAAGAUUAUGACGUUACCAACAGAAGAAGCACCGGCUAACUCCGUGCCAGCAGCCGCGGUAAUACG